AUGAACGCUGGCGGCGUGCUUAACACAUGCAAGUCGAACGGAAAGGCCCAAGCUUGCUUGGGUACUCGAGUGGCGAACGGGUGAGUAACACGUGGGUGAUCUGCCCUGCACUUCGGGAUAAGCCUGGGAAACUGGGUCUAAUACCGGAUAGGACCACUUCUCGGAUGUUGUGGUGGAAAGUUUUUUCGGUGUGGGAUGAGCUCGCGGCCUAUCAGCUUGUUGGUGGGGUAAUGGCCUACCAAGGCGUCGACGGGUAGCCGGCCUGAGAGGGUGUACGGCCACAUUGGGACUGAGAUACGGCCCAGACUCCUACGGGAGGCAGCAGUGGGGAAUAUUGCACAAUGGGCGCAAGCCUGAUGCAGCGACGCCGCGUGGGGGAUGACGGCCUUCGGGUUGUAAACUCCUUUCGCUAGGGACGAAGCGUUUUGUGACGGUACCUGGAGAAGAAGCACCGGCUAACUACGUG
This 466-nucleotide ribosomal RNA is filed under the name uncultured bacterium. Its description in RNAcentral is "partial 16S ribosomal RNA". It matches the Rfam family "Bacterial small subunit ribosomal RNA", at positions 29 to 507 of the family's 1533-position model. The record is from RNAcentral.